Lathyrus oleraceus (garden pea) is the source of this 1411-nucleotide long non-coding RNA. RefSeq lists it as uncharacterized. The record is from RefSeq and is a predicted model, not a curated record. The transcript has 3 exons. NCBI's taxonomy places the organism in Eukaryota, Viridiplantae, Streptophyta, Magnoliopsida, Fabales, Fabaceae.
UUGAGAACCAUCCUGCAUAAUGAUUUGAUAUUUUGAUUUUAGAGAAGUGGAGUGCAAACAAAUAUUAUGUAGAUGGAAAGAUUAUUAUUUAUUUAUGAUUUUUUGUGAUUACCAUUUUCAGAAAAGUAAAAAGUAAAACAAAACAUCUUAGAUGUGGAUGAAAAAAAUUGUAUUUCAUUGAUCAUAAUAACUGAAGAAGAAAUCAACAAUGAUUAGAUGAUGAGAUUUAUAGAAGUUCCAAAUUAACAGAUUUUGGUUCAGUUAGGUUGAUGCAAGAGCAAAUUAGUUAAAGGUUAAGAUUCUGUUAGGGGUUGUUAGGAAUAGGUUAGAGUCAAUGUGAAUUUCUGUUAAAAGUUUGUUAUGGUUUUGUUCUCAUGACGGUUGGGGGGUCUUUGAAGUUGAAGUUAUGGAAGUUAGGGGUGUUGGUUGAGUGAAAAAUUUGUUAUGGUUAAUUGGAGUUUGUUAGGAGGUUAUGUUUUUUGUAUAGGUUUAUUUGAGUUAGAGGUUCAUUAUCUUGGAAAUUAAUUAAUGAAAAUCAAUUCUGCAGGUUGCUAAUAUGAGCUAUGUUGGUGUAUUCUGAGGAAGAGGUUCUGCAGGAAAGCUCACAUUUCAUGCCGUCGUCUUUGGUCGGAACUUGCUGCUAUUUUGUUUGUGGUUAUUGCAGGCUACUUAAAUCCUAAUAGUCAAGACCAGCAAACUCCUCACUCUUUGACUUCUUUCCUGAUGAUGAAAAAUCAAGGCUCAUUAAUUGUCACUGAGUUGGAGGCUGGUACAGAUGUUGAGGGUCUAUAAGGCGGGGGAUGCAGUGGAGGGGCACAUAUCUCCCCACCAGCUUGAAGAUUAGGCGAAGAGAUAUUGACAUGAGGUGGUCUUGCAGAAAAACCGCUGAAAUUUCCCUGUGUAUUGUAAGAGGCAUGUAAAGGUGAUGGCAACAUAGCAUGAGAGCUAGUUGAGGCGUGUGAAUUCUGGAGCAUUACUGGGUGCAGGGUGACUUCGGGAUGCUGGUUAUUGGUUGUUGUAAUUGCCGGUUAUACAGACAUUCGAUGUGGAUGCGGUUUAAUUUGCUACAUGUGGAAUGUCACGGGUUCAAUGUCGCUGUUUGUGUCGACGGUUGUAGUCGUUGAAGGCAAGCAGGAUGAUCCACCUGCUGCAGUUGUAGAACCUGCUUGCAGUGUAAUUGGCGUGGCAGCCAUUCUUGAAGAGUUCCCUUUUUUGUUGUUUAUAUUAGUAACAAAAUGACUAUAUAUUGUCGGUUUUAAAUUGGAAUGAACUUAGAACUCUUCUGGGAACAAUCAUUGCUACCUUUCAUUGUAUUUAGAAUUAAGUAGGAUUUUAGUUAGGUGGUGUACUGUUGGGAAUCAUGGAACUGAAGCAUGGCAUUGUUAUUAGAUGUUAGAUGUAUUUUGGAGUU